Osmia lignaria (orchard mason bee) is the source of this 5107-nucleotide non-coding RNA. Lineage: Eukaryota; Metazoa; Arthropoda; Insecta; Hymenoptera; Megachilidae. The record is from RefSeq and is a predicted model, not a curated record.
UCCCCUGGAGCGAAACGUGCCCGAAGCUUCGCAUGAUUCGCGCAAAGGAUAGAAAGCAAAGCAACCAUUUCGAUUCAGGAUGGAACUCCGGUACCGGGACCCACUCUGAGGCCUGGUAGGCAGGUAAGUCGGCACGGAUGGCUGGCUGGCUUGCUUGGAGGAGUUGCAGGAGAGUGCCAUGGUAGAGGGGCUUCCCUGGCUGUGGCUGCCGCUUGCGGGCACGAACCGCGCUACCGCCGUCAGCAGGCAGUCUUAUUACGCCCGCACUCAACUACGCGAACUAAGUACUCUUCUUAGGCCGGGCAAACAUUUGAAUAACAAUCGCGAGUUAGCUUAUCACGCGAAUCAAACGUACGUACUUUGAACGGUGUUCAUUGUACUGCACGUAUCAUUUAAGUCUUGUAGUACGAGGCAGGGGUACACAGAUUUUCCGCAUGGACACGCACGUUCGAUCGUGCCGACAAGGACUCGCGUUUCAAACCGACGGAACCAAUCUUGAAAUAAGUUAGUCAAACGAGCUGAGAGGCGGUGAAGAUCCCUUGAGUUCGAUUGGUCAGCCAAGACCUGCUGCUCGGUCAGAGCUUCUUGUCGGAGGUUGGAAUCGGUCGACGAUACUAUCUCGAUCAUUGACGCGUUCAGAGAUACCGGUCAGUGUGAAGUCUGCUUAAUAGCGAGGAACAUGUGCAACCAGGGAAUAGUGGCGAGGCUGAUGUUGCCGGGGAACGACGAGCUAUACUGUGACCACUCUGUUCUCCACGAAUCCUGACUGAUUCCACCUUCGUAUCACCAGCUGACUAUCGACCGGGCCGAAGUUGAAUCGCGACGCGGUGAAUAUAAUAUUUGUUCGAAAGUUUGUACGGGUGAAAAUCGUGAUACGACGGACCUUAAUACAAAGUGUUGGUUCGAGUUAACGCGUACGGUGUACAGAAACGAGUCUUUGGCAAAAGAGAGCCGGUAUGUACGCGAAAUUACACGUUUUCACGUACAUUCGGUACGCUAUGAACAUCAACCUUCUCGGAUCUAACGGGUGCUUCUCAACUAGAUGCGUAUCGACGAACUGAAGGAUGUUCGCUAGACUCUGUAGACAGGCUCCGAAUGGGGACCUGAAGAGACGACACUCUUGGAGCAGCGAGGUCGACUACCAGCCAGCGGAAACGGAAGCUGUAGCGACCCCGGAAGAAGAUCCCGCUGCCCCGUCCCCAGAAGAGGAGGACAGAACCUCUUACAAGGAACAUGGCUGUUCGGUGCAGACGGUGGACCUGGUGGCGGACUGUCCUUUGCAGGUGGUGACACCGGCGUCGAGGUCACCGUCACCACCCAGAUCGGCGACGCCUGCGACGCCCUCCACGCCCCUCGCACCGCCGAAGAGCAUGGGGCAACGGUCAAGCACCCUCUUGCGCCCCAAGAUCUCUUUGACCUGGGUCCUCCGUGGACAACAGCAACCUGCGUCCACCAAUAAUCAGACGACUAUCAAUGGGAAUACAGGUGGGAACGACGAUCGGGAGAGCUUGUCACGAGACGGUAAGGAGAGGUCCUCCAGGAGGAGCGUUAAGAGCGUGAAGGAAAAGGAUGCUGGCAAGGAGAACUUGGAUACUGAGAAACGAGAAAAGAAGAUUCUCCAUAGGAUCGAGAAGAUUGAGAGGACAGAAAAGUCUAUCGGCAAGGAGGUGCUGGUGAACGAGAGGUCUCUCGACAGCCCUUUGGACAAGCAAUCCGAGAAGGGAUUUCCCGGAUUGAAAGACACAAAAGAAAAGGAGAAAGUUAAGAGGGCAGUGUCCGAACCGUCUCUCGUGUCUCGGGAGUCAACGUCCACGCCGAGUGGUCGUGAGAAGCACAGACAUCGGAGGACCAAACGUUCUCACAAGCCUAGACCUCCUAGCAGGUUCGGUUACGAAAUUGCGGACCUCGAUGCGUUUCUCACGAAGGCCUCGAUAGAGAAACCCGCCAACAUUCCCGUGGUUCUGUCCUUCCCAUCUGUCCUGUACCAAACCCAAGGAGGUACUCAAGACGAGAUGGCUCUACCACUUGGAACAGUGGUGAAUGCUGUAUUCAAGAACCAGACCUGGUUGUACGUUCAAACUCCCCAUGGACAAGAAGGAUACGUUGGGUAUGCUGCGUGCCUACCACUUGGAAUCUUACCGCAACCAACGCGGGGUCCAUGCUGGGAGGAUUCAACGGAUGUAUUUCCUCGUCCUCUAGGUAACAUGACCGACACUGAGAAAUUAAGGGACACCCGAUCAGAGUGCGGGGCUCGGGGUAGAAAUCCAAGAGUAAGACGAAGUUCCAGAGACGCGGUUUCAGCCUGUGGAGAACGCAGCGUUGAUAGAUUGUAUCUUAGAGCCGCGGCAAACGCUAGAACCAAAGGAUCCCGUCAUACUUUGCUCGUGAUACGCAGCGACUAUGAAGGCCAAGGUGGAAACGCUCUGAGCGUUUCUAAAGGUGACGUCGUUGCUCUGCUUAGCGAUCACGUAAGCGACUGGUUCUGGGUUCGUUCGCGGGACGGCAGAGAGGGCUUCAUACCUGCUGUGAUCGCAGGUCACGGCUUUCUUUAACUAUAGUCCUCUAGGAUUUAUGAAUACAUUGUUCAAUGUAUCUAAGAGACUGUCGCAUUACAAGGAGCCACGAUUAACGAACGGAUACUUGUAUAUUUAUCGCAUGGAAAACAUGUUUGUUUUGUUAUUACGCAAACUUUAACAUUAAUUCACGAUAGUUAAAGUUUGUGCAAACGUCAAGAUUAUUCGAACAGCCGGCUAUACUCAUUACUUUCUGUGGAGUUUCUUGGUAAAUAAUACUGUAAACGGUGUUACUAGAAGUUGGCACUUUGGCCAAUGUUUCUCCUUGAUACGUUAAGUGAUAAACGUGAGGCGCUGCUCCCGCAGCAAUUACACGUUCCUCGUAAAUGUUUGCUACGUGAAUCCCUUCGUCUGAAAGAUGAAACACAGUUGCUGCUUCCAUCGUGCGUAUAUGCCACAAGGAUAAAGACGGACCACCACCACAUAACUAGAAAAUCAUGAUGUACUGAUUAAUAAUAAAUUACGUAUGUUUCAAGAAGAAAGGCUUAAACACGCACCAACCAGUCAUCUGUAAAAUCUAUAGCACCAAUCCACUUGCCUAACCUUGGCCUGGCUACCUUUUCUACCAAAUAAGGAAGCUAACUGAUUACCCCUGAAAAAUAGUCAAAAUUUAUUGCACGAAAUUUGAAGAUUGUAUAUCACUUAUCGCAAUAAUACGCACAUUAAUGACAGACAAUGGAUAUAGUCUGUAUGUCCUUGUAAACUUCUGACUAUUCUACCAUCUUCUAAGCUGUCUCUGAGGAUAAACUGAUAUUAAUAUUGUUAAAAACUACACUGUGUUCCAGUAUUAUUUACAUUUUUAUGAAGGCUUGAAUAUUACUUAUUAACUGGCAUCUGUACAGUCCAUGAAACUUUACUUUUUGGUGCUUUGCUAGAGGUAACUAUUUUCCAAUCCCAUCCGCAUACUUCCCCAGAUGUUCCUGUCACCAAAAAAUUAUCUGUCGAAACCAUACUCUCUACCUGUUGGUCAGGAUGAGCAGUGAAGCGAUAAUUGGGUCCUUGUAACUCAUUUUCUUCUGCUUUACGAGGACCUAGAGCUUUUGAUAACCUAGAGAAAAAUAAUAAUAGUUAUUAUCGAUCUUUAUUGCAAUUAAUAUCAACAUAACCUAAUAGUUAUUUGAAAUAGAGAUGUAAAUAAAUACUUACUCGAAAACUGAAACAUCUCCGUAAAUAUUUCCAGCCAGUAAAUAAUUUCCAUCUGGGGAAAAUGUUUGUGACAGAACAGUAUUAUAAAAUAACUUAUGAUUAAUCGUACUGGACAUCAUUUGUCAAGUUUUACUGAUUUAUAUAGGUAGAUUUAGGAAGGAAAAGAGGUUAGACUACGGAUUCCGUCGAAGGUAAACAAAACUUUUUAACAUGACAUUGAAUGGAAGGUUAUACAGAAUCUUCCUUAUCUGAUGGUACAAUCGUAAAGGAGAUGAAUCUACUUGAAAAAGUAAGUAAAAAAGGUACUAAUAGAAAGUCCUAUAUUAAAAGGAAGGUAGGUCAAAAAACAUUUUUUCGAACGAGGCUUCUUUUCUGGUAUAAAUAAAUAUUGAAAAUUCAUUUUAAAAAAUUCGACAAAACAUGUGGCGCCAUUUAGCGUGAGUGAUAAAAAUAGACUUUUUUAUUUCGCCAAUUUUAUUUUUUAUUUCGACUGUACAGUAUUAAUUAAAAUUUCCUGCGUAAAUGUUUAUACACAAGUGGUGGGCAACCACAGAUCUAUAUUCCCUACUUUGUCAUUUUCCUUGCGAAUAGCUAAAAGUAAAGAUGGGAACCCGUGGAAGGGGUAAGCGUGGUCGGGAACCUGGUAAACCUACGGGGUGCCUAAGGACAGCGCAUUUUCAUUCGGGAAAAGAAAAAGAAUUGAAUUCGUAAUUAGAUAGGUAUUUCACGUGACAAUUUUAUUCAUGUUAUUGUAUUACAUAUGCUUUGAAUAGAAAAACAAAGCCAUAAUAGAAUUAUACAUGUAUUACUGUUAUGGAAUGACCUUUUUUAAAACAACUUCAUGAUUUUCGCAACCCGAUUAUACAGAACCUUAAAAGUAAUAGUGAUUUUGCAGAGUUAUUACUUUUAAAUAUCCCUAUAAUAGUACGAAGUAAAUCUAAUAAAAGUCUUCUUCUGUUAACUUCGUUGGAGCUUGAUUCUUUAUCUGCUCUUGACUUUUAUACAUUGUUGCAACCUGUUGGGCUGAAGUGGCAUCCUCGCUACUUUUAUCAUCGCGAAUACGAAUAAAUCGUGGAAAUCGUAAGGAUAUACCCUUUUCUGGAUCAACGAUACCCACUGCUGCUUUAUGAACAGGUGAUAGAGACAAAUCUGCGCAUUUGAUCUCCCAAGCUUGAACGGGUUCAAACCAAUGAUCAGGUUCAAGUGAUGGAUCGUAACGGUAGUACGGCUUACUUUUUGGUAUUAUAUGCUCCUUCAAGAAUUCACUGUGUUUUUGAAGAUCCUCUUCAGUGAAACCAGUACCAAUCUAAAUGAAAAUAUAUUACAUUGUAGAAUCAUGUAUAUUAUAUUCAUUCGAAGAUUGGAAUUGUUAAUAUUUACCUUACAAA